Long non-coding RNA from Gadus macrocephalus (Pacific cod), 2137 nucleotides. RefSeq lists it as uncharacterized. The record is from RefSeq and is a predicted model, not a curated record. The transcript has 2 exons. NCBI's taxonomy places the organism in Eukaryota, Metazoa, Chordata, Actinopteri, Gadiformes, Gadidae.
AUGUGACAUGCUUGCGAUCUGCGAUGUUUUCGUCUGCGACGUUCGAAAACCCCACGACGAAAAGUUUGGCACGUAAGAAUUUUUUGGGGAAUGGCAUGACGUAGGUAUCCAUUGUUGACAUGAGGGAAUCCCGCUGUCACUUGCGUGAUGGAACCCCACGAACAGCUGGAGCUCACGCGCAGUGUUUACCAACUGACUUCACUGCACUACGAUGAGUAGGGUAACUGCUACAAAAAUGAAUAUGAUCAAAAGAAGAAUGCUAAUAAAGAAAACGAGAGAAAAUGGAACAACAUAAUGGAGACAACUUUGGUUGAAAUGUGGCAGCAACGUCCCUGUAUUUUCGACGUGUCCACAAAGGAGUUCCAGGAUAGGGUGAAGGGAUACAGCCUGGCGAGAAAUAGCCGACGCCCUUGACCUACCCGGUAAGUUUGGAGUCAACUACUGUUGACGCGCUAAUAGCUAUCAUAACCUAUCCUAAACCUCAAACAGCCAGCAUAAUGCCUAGUGCUAGGUGAUCGGAAUCCAUUGUUGACACUCUGUUGCUAGGCUACGUUGUUGCUGCGGGUACUUUGUAUCGCUCAUGUCAGGCGCAACGUUGUCUCGCAAAGCCAGACCAAACUACAGCUAGUAGAAUGGUCUGGAACCAUGCUACCUCGAGCCAUCUAUCCUUGGGGAAACUGGGCGGGCCUGUUUUUAUUUCUUUAAACCAAUCACAAUCGUCUAGGGUGGGGCUAAGCCCGGGAAGCAGCAUCGGUGUCCAUGCAAAAUAUUGCCAGGGGGAAAUGCCAGCAACCGGAAGGGGAGGAGUAGCGGUGAAAUCCGACGCUAGGUGAUAGACGUUGUCCACUUCCGUUCAGCCAUACUAGGCGCAACGCAACUACUGUAAGGAGUUGCUGCAUUGAGCAGAUAGAAAAACUACUGGAACCUUUAUGACAAAAAUGUUAAAAAACAUUUAUGUCAGUUAUGAACCUUAGAUAAAUAUCUUACAAACGUGAAUGAUACAAAGUAGAGAGCAUCGCACCCUCGAAUCUUGUAGUGUGGCCAGUCUUCCGACGAGACAAGGCCCGAUUUCCUGGCUCUGUGAUUUUAUAGUGUGAUAUGUUAAAUCGUGGAGGAAUAUCUGAGAAUCGUGUAGUCUGAACCAGCCCAAUAAAUAACCAAUCAUAACAACACAAUGAAUCAUGUGCUAAAUCCUAAAUUGGUCAUCAGUACUGGACUGUGGUCCUUUAAAUUCAUAUGUUUUCUGUUCAACUCACAAUUUUCAUCUGCUGCCAAAUGAUGAAAUGCAGGCUGUGUGGUUUCUGGGCCUAAUACUGCGGCGUCUCAAGGGAUUCUGGUGUUGCUGCCAUACAAUCUCCUGGGUUUUACCUUUGCCAUCUCGACUGUGAAAGGAGUCAUUGUCUCCACAGAGGCCAGGCUACUCCAACUGCCUGAUUAAAUGGCUGUCGGUCCUUGCAGGACAUAGAUCAUAUAGCUCAGGUUAGUUAGCUAACAUUUGCUAUGUAUUCAUUGAACAAGGUACUUUCAGCUAUUUUAUUGCAAGGGCCUAAUAUAAUGAAAGUGUGUUGAAACUAUAUUUCCGAGAGUUUAUAUAAAGUUAUUUACUUCAUUCACAUGUGUAGAAUAUAUAUUGACCAUUUGCCCUGAUAUUGUCAAUGCAAGAUUUAAUGGAGGGUCUGUGUAUGGAUAUUUUUAUGAUAAAAUAGACAUCAAGGCAAAAACAUAAUAUAAUUAUUAAAAUUCAUCAUUGAAUGUCGAACUAGACUAUUGCGGACCAACAUGUGCGAGGGAACAUGAUGCUAUGAAAUCAGACAAAUCUUUCUCUGAGCUGUGACGGUAAAUAAAAAAUAUUUACCAUUUAUGGGGUCAGCUUCCACCAACAGGGUAACAUCGUGGAUGACUUCUUCCAUUCCCCUGAACACCUCGCAUCGGUAUCGACCGCUGUCGCUCGCGGUGACGUCCAUGAUCGUUAAUGAGGCGUCUUUCUCAUCAGCGCCCUGCAGUAAGGCGCGGCCGUUGAACUCCCCAAAGCUCUUAGUGUGGAUACCCAGUGACACCAGGAUCUCCUCUUCGUCCAAAGUCUCGUCCUCAGGCACCCGGCUCCACUUGACCCUAAUACCGAUGUUGGCGAAUGGCG